GCCUGGGCGGCUCAGUCGGUUGAGCGUCUGACUUCGGCUCAGGUCAUGAUCUCGCGGUCUGUGAGUUCGAGCCCCGCAUCAGGCU
Molecule: transfer RNA, 85 nt
Filed under: Felis catus (domestic cat)
Lineage: Eukaryota; Metazoa; Chordata; Mammalia; Carnivora; Felidae
Rfam family: tRNA
About the family: Transfer RNA (tRNA) molecules are approximately 80 nucleotides in length. Their secondary structure includes four short double-helical elements and three loops (D, anti-codon, and T loops).
Source: Rfam by way of RNAcentral